RNAcentral lists this transfer RNA (85 nucleotides) under Felis catus (domestic cat). It matches the Rfam family "tRNA". Rfam says of the family: Transfer RNA (tRNA) molecules are approximately 80 nucleotides in length. Their secondary structure includes four short double-helical elements and three loops (D, anti-codon, and T loops). Lineage: Eukaryota; Metazoa; Chordata; Mammalia; Carnivora; Felidae. The record is from Rfam by way of RNAcentral.
GCCUGGGUGGCUCAGUCGGUUGAGCGUCCGACUUUGGCUCAGGUCGUGAUCUCACGGUCUGUGAGUUCGAGCCCCGCAUCAGGCU